CUGCAAAGAAAAGAAAAUAUUCAUUUUAGGUCAUGAAAUACAAGUUUGGAGUUAUAAUGCACAUCUCUGCAGUAGGUGGCAGUAUACACCUAACAUGGGGGUCAGUGAAGAAGAGUUGCAAGGAACUUCACUACCAUGUUAGUUUUUCCCCCAAAUCCCAGAUAUCUCGCAAAAGGCAUCUGUCAGAAUACAGUGUUCCAUCAGGAAGUAUCACUUGGACAGAAAGACAAUGGGUUCCUACAAGAUAUUUGUCAGAGGAAGAGAAAGCACAAGAAUAGAUGACAGCUAAGACUGAGGUAACGUAUCAUCAAGACUAGAGUUCUUCAUCCCACAGAUGUCUCCAGUGUUGAAGAUGGUCAUCACACCUGAUAAUCAGUUCCUGCUGACUGCCUCGGAGGACAGCUCCCUGCUCAUCUGGAGGAUCACUGACCAGGAGGGAUGCAUGUUGAGCAUGGUGAAAGAAACAGACUAUAUUGAGUAGUUCCCUGUACCAAGGCUUAUCUGGAGAAAAAGGACAUACUAUAUAUUCUGUGAAACUGAUAGAAUGAUGUUCCCAUUAUAGUAGAAGCUUUCACCGUAGUGCAGUGGCGUAUUGCCACCUCAGAGCUCCAGGGUCCCUGGCUCAAUCCUGAGGUCAGGUGACGGAGUGGAGCCUGUGUGGAGUUUUGCAUGUUCUCUCCAUGGGUUUCCUCUGGGUUUUCUCUACUUAGUAAUGGCUAUUUAUUUUAUAUUUUGUAGUAACAUAGUUGCAGGAUAAAAUGCUCAAAGUUUCAUCCUGAACCUUUGCUCCAGCCUUUGAUAUUUUUCUGUGUUAAACCCUCCAGGACCAGAGUACACUAGAGGCAGAGGACCAGGAGGACAAGCUAAAUUACAAUCACAUGGACUGCAAGACAAAGAUUAAUAAAAUCAGGUUCUGAAAACUGAGAAUGAGGAACAGAAGGUCUUUCACCACCAGAUGCUGACCUUGAUAACGGAGAAAUAUGACAAAGAGAUGAAGGAUGAACAGUCUCUCUUUAUUUUUCACCAUGCAGUAUGGCUUGAUUAUACUUUAACACAGAAUUUGGGUUCCAAGAUUCAGUGAAUCAUUAAUCUUGAGCUCAACUGAAAUUUAUUUAUUUAUUUAUUUAUUUAUUUAUUCCCUCAGCCUAAAAUAUGUUUGUCUCAGUCUAUCUAAUAAGCCGCACUCAUGUUUUUUGUUGAAAUUUCUAGGCUGCUCCUAGCACUAAAAUGUUUAAUGCACUAAAAUAGUAUGCAUUUUUAAAAGCAUGGCUAAUUUUGUUCCCAGAUCAAACCCAACGAAGACACUGUGUUAAUAGCAUUCAAGAAACACAAAGAGAUGGAGCAGAGAAUGGAGGCGAUGCAGAAGAACUAUGAGGAGAGACUGCACCAGCAAGAGGACGGCCAUCUCUGCACGAUGGAGGACAUGAAACAGUCCUAUGAGGCUAAGCUGCAGGAGCUAAGGAAGCCACACUGCUGUUCUGCUUUCUCUUAGGAUCCUGUUUUCCUCAUCUCCAGACCAUGCCCCUGAUCAUUAUUGUUAUCUGUAUCUAGUUAGCUUAAGUUGUGUCUUGUUUUGUCAUUUGUUGUUUGUUUCUUGUUUGCUUCUUUUGUUUCUGAAGUCCUACAACUGUCAGUGCUGAAUCGUUCACCUGGUUUUUGAGUUCCAGUCCGCCUAAUUCCUUUUCCUAGUAUUCUUCCUAGUUAAAUGCAUUAUAUGGGUCAAUAAGCAUUCAUUUUUAGUUAAGUCUUGGGAUUAGUAUGUUUGGAGUGUGCAUCUCCUUCUCCAUCUUCUCUCUACAGCAACUGGCCGAGUUGCUGAAGUUGGAGGAGAGCCAGAAGGAGAUGAAGCAGAAAGUUGACUCUGAGUUCAAGGAAAUCAGCCACAAAUAUGAACAGCAGCUCCAGGAGGAGAAAAAGCCCAGCAUGAAGAAUGAAUUGGAAAGGAAACUCUUGGAGAAGCAGGAGAGGAGAGGCUUCCGUCUGGCCACUUUGCCGUAAAGCCCAGAUUGUGGAGUUUUGCAGUGAUGGUUGACCUUCUGCAAGUUUCUCCAUCUCCACACAUUAUCUCUGGAGCUCAACCAGAGUGACCAUCUGGUUCUUGGUCACCUCUCUUACCGAGGCCCUUCUCCCCCGAUUGCUCAGUUUGGCCAGGCGACCAGCUCUAGGACAAGUACCUGGUUGUUCCAAACUUCUUCCAUUUAAGAAUUAUGCAGGCCACUCUGCUCUUGUGAACCUUCAGUGCAGCAGAAAUUUUUUGUAGCCUUCCCCAGAUCGGUGCCUCGACACAAUCCUGUCUCUGAGCUCUGCAGGCAGUUCCUUUGACCUUUGGAUUGGUUUUUGCUCUGUUUGUUCAGCUGUUAGACAGCAGUAUCCUCAGGGAAGUCACAGUGGAAAUCUCCAGUAGAGUUCAAAAGCGUGAGCCAUCUGCAAUGUGCAGGAAUCCAGAGGCUAAAGAGGGAUAUCCUGGAGAAGGGACAAGGCCAAGCCACCCAUUAACAUAGCCAAGAACACCAGAUUCUUGAAUAAAGAAACACCUUGAAUAAAAGCUGUAAUAAUAAAUGGUAUGGUGUUAUAUCUUUUUUAUUUACUUUUAUUUUUAACAAUAAUUUUAAAAUUCAUUUUAGCAUAAUUUGUAAUCAAUUUUUCUAUUCUAUUUUAAUUUUGACUCUGGUUUGUGGAGAUGGCAUCUGAUUAGUGGUCCCCUCAAAGAUUGUGAGUAUUGUAGUGAUUAAAUCCAUUUAAAAGAACAGAAAAGAAAACCAAUCUGACUUAUGGCGUGUACCAGAGCAUAUAUGGCUUUAAAACAGUGAGUCAGUCUGGAAAAGUAUAAAUGUCGUUGAUCAUAAUAAUGUCCGUUAAAGGGGAUCAUGGAUGAAACCUUUACUUCUGGACACCCGCUGAUCAUGUGACAGUCUGGACUUGAGUCCAUGGGAGCUGAGUGCACAUUCUCUGAAUAGAAAACUCCAGAUUAGUGUGUGUAUUUUAAGGUUAAGCAACCAAGGGCAAUAAAGAAUGAGCUUUUGCCUCGUAAAUUAUAGUGUGCUGUCACAGAGAAACUCGUGCAGCCAUGAACCUGGCAGUGGAGGGCCGAGCUGCGGCAGCAGUGGGCCUGAAGGCGGUGCUGAAGAGCAGGGAGGCGCGGCCUGUGCCAGCCAAGAGGUCGAAAAUCAUGACAUGUUCACUUGAAAAAUGGGUGGCUUCAAACAAAAUGUGCCAUGUUCUAAGUUGUUUAACAAUCUAGAUGUAAAUAGCGGGAAAUGAAAGUUGGAAUUCUGCUCUGUCGUUUCAUAUUCGUCUUUUGAUCUCAAACCCAAAUGUCUUCAGUGUAUAGCAAAAACAAUAGAACUGGUCUUGCUGUUCCAAUACGUUCUGAGGGGACUGUAUGGAAAAUAUGAUUAGGCUGGAAAGUGCAUUCAGAAGGCUUAUUAACCUUAUGGAC
Long non-coding RNA from Pangasianodon hypophthalmus (striped catfish), 3439 nucleotides. RefSeq lists it as uncharacterized. The record is from RefSeq and is a predicted model, not a curated record. Lineage: Eukaryota; Metazoa; Chordata; Actinopteri; Siluriformes; Pangasiidae. The transcript has 7 exons.